AGAACGAACGCUGGCGGCAUGCCUAACACAUGCAAGUCGAACGAGACCUUCGGGUCUAGUGGCGCACGGGUGCGUAACGCGUGGGAACCUGCCUUUAGGUUCGGAAUAACUCAGAGAAAUUUGAGCUAAUACCGGAUAAUGUCUUCGGACCAAAGAUUUAUCGCCUUUAGAUGGGCCCGCGUAGGAUUAGCUUGUUGGUGGGGUAAUGGCCUACCAAGGCGACGAUCCUUAGCUGGUCUGAGAGGAUGAUCAGCCACACGUGGGACUGAGACACGGCCCAGACU
RNAcentral lists this ribosomal RNA (284 nucleotides) under uncultured soil bacterium. Its description in RNAcentral is "partial 16S ribosomal RNA". It matches the Rfam family "Bacterial small subunit ribosomal RNA", at positions 26 to 337 of the family's 1533-position model. The record is from RNAcentral.